AGUCGAGCGAGAUCUUCGGAUCUAGCGGCGGACGGGUGAGUAACGCGUGGGAACGUACCCUCUUCUGCGGGAUAGCCACUGGAAACGGUGAGUAAUACCGCAUACGCCCUUCGGGGGAAAGAUUUAUCGGAGGAGGAUCGGCCCGCGUUGGAUUAGGUAGUUGGUGGGGUAAUGGCCUACCAAGCCUACGAUCCAUAGCUGGUUUUAGAGGAUGAUCAGCCACACUGGGACUGAGACACGGCCCAGACUCCUACGGGAGGCAGCAGUGGGGAAUCUUAGACAAUGGGCGCAAGCCUGAUCUAGCCAUGCCGCGUGAGUGACGAAGGCCUUAGGGUCGUAAAGCUUUUUCGCCUGUGAUGAUAAUGACAGUAGCAGGUAAAGAAACCCCGGCUAACUCCGUGCCAGCAGCCGCGGUAAUACGGAGGGGGUUAGCGUUGUUCGGAAUUACUGGGCGUAAAGCGCACGUAGGCGGAUUGGAAAGUAUGGGGUGAAAUCCCAGGGCUCAACCCUGGAACGGCCUCAUAAACUUCCAGUCUGGAGUUCGAGAGAGGUGAGUGGAAUUCCGAGUGUAGAGGUGAAAUUCGUAGAUAUUCGGAGGAACACCAGUGGCGAAGGCGGCUCACUGGCUCGAUACUGACGCUGAGGUGCGAAAGUGUGGGGAGCAAACAGGAUUAGAUACCCUGGUAGUCCACACCGUAAACGAUGAAUGCCAGUCGUCGGCAAGCAUGCUUGUCGGUGACACACCUAACGGAUUAAGCAUUCCGCC
RNAcentral lists this ribosomal RNA (766 nucleotides) under Roseovarius sp. EC-SD190. RNAcentral describes it as "bacterial SSU rRNA". It matches the Rfam family "Bacterial small subunit ribosomal RNA", at positions 60 to 873 of the family's 1533-position model. The record is from RNAcentral. Lineage: Bacteria; Pseudomonadati; Pseudomonadota; Alphaproteobacteria; Rhodobacterales; Roseobacteraceae.